This 556-nucleotide ribosomal RNA is filed under the name Albirhodobacter sp. E4. RNAcentral describes it as "bacterial SSU rRNA". It matches the Rfam family "Bacterial small subunit ribosomal RNA", at positions 44 to 631 of the family's 1533-position model. Lineage: Bacteria; Pseudomonadati; Pseudomonadota; Alphaproteobacteria; Rhodobacterales; Paracoccaceae. The record is from RNAcentral.
GGGCCUAACACAUGCAAGUCGAACGAGAUCUUCGGAUCUAGUGGCGGACGGGUGAGUAACGCGUGGGAAUAUGCCCUUUGGUACGGAAUAGCCUCGGGAAACUGAGAGUAAUACCGUAUGUGUCCUCUGAUCGUGGUGGUUGGAGGAGAAAGAUUUAUCGCCAAAGGAUUAGCCCGCGUUGGAUUAGAUAGUUGGUGGGGUAAUGGCCUACCAAGUCUACGAUCCAUAGCUGGUUUGAGAGGAUGAUCAGCCACACUGGGACUGAGACACGGCCCAGACUCCUACGGGAGGCAGCAGUGGGGAAUCUUAGACAAUGGGGGCAACCCUGAUCUAGCCAUGCCGCGUGAUCGAUGAAGGCCUUAGGGUUGUAAAGAUCUUUCAGUUGGGAAGAUAAUGACGGUACCAACAGAAGAAGCCCCGGCUAACUCCGUGCCAGCAGCCGCGGUAAUACGGAGGGGGCUAGCGUUAUUCGGAAUUACUGGGCGUAAAGCGCACGUAGGCGGACUGGAAAGUUAGAGGUGAAAUCCCAGGGCUCAACCUUGGAACUGCCUUUAAA